RNAcentral lists this ribosomal RNA (423 nucleotides) under uncultured bacterium. RNAcentral describes it as "bacterial SSU rRNA". It matches the Rfam family "Bacterial small subunit ribosomal RNA", at positions 207 to 622 of the family's 1533-position model. The record is from RNAcentral.
AAGACCUUGCGCUUUUGGAGCGGCCGAUGCCUGAUUAGCUUGUUGGUAAGGUAAAAGCUUACCAAGGCUUCGAUCAGUAGCUGGUCUGAGAGGACGACCAGCCACACUGGGACUGAGACACGGCCCAGACUCCUACGGGAGGCAGCAGUGGGGAAUUUUGGACAAUGGGGGCAACCCUGAUCCAGCCAUGCCGCGUGAGUGAAGAAGGCCUUCGGGUUGUAAAGCUCUUUCAGCCGGAACGAAACGGUUACGGUUAAUACCCGUGACUACUGACGGUACCGGAAGAAGAAGCACCGGCUAACUACGUGCCAGCAGCCGCGGUAAUACGUAGGGUGCGAGCGUUAAUCGGAAUUACUGGGCGUAAAGGGUGCGCAGGCGGUUUUGUAAGUCAGAUGUGAAAUCCCCGGGCUUAACCUGGGAACU